AGCCCGCCGGGCUCUUCUCCUUCAGCAGGCCGGGCGCGGCCGUGCAGCCCUCCGGCUUCAGCUUCGGCUCGGCCGCCGCGACCCCCGCGGCCCCGGCAGCCGCCGCCUUCCCGCUGGGGGCAAACACCACAAAAGUGAACUUUGGAGCCAGCACUGCCACUUCAGCUCCUGGAAUCACGGGGGGCUUUUCUUUUAGUGCCCCUGUUGCAACCAGCACACCCUCGAGUCAGGCAGCAGCCCCGUCCGGCUUUUCCUUUGGCUCUGCUGGCACCAGCAGCACCAGCACGGCUCCGUCUGGGACGACAGGAGGCUUCACCUUCUCCAGUGGCACCACGACUCAGGCGGGAACAGCCGGCUUCAGCAUCGGCACCGCGGCUCCGCAGGCAACGUCCGCGGGGCUGACCUUUGGCACGGCCCCUGCGGCUGCUGCCACCACCAGCACGGCCACCCUGGGAGCGGCCACCCCGUCAGCAGCGCCCUUCAGCCUCGGGGGGCAGUCCACAGGUCUAACCUUUGGGGCACCGCCUUCAACAGCAGCCACCAGCACAACCACGGCAACGCUGACCACAAGUACCAGCCAGGCACCCACCCUGUCCUUUGGAACCAAGCUUGGAGGUAGGAAGCUGUUCUAGAAAACAAUUCCUCAAGGCUUUGGGAAAUCCUCCUGGCAGCAUUUGACUAUUGGAAGUAGACAAAUGCACUGGGGUGUGGGAAGGGGCCAGAAGCAUUUGUUCCUGUGAGUUUGCCCUGGCAGGGGUGACCUGUGGCAGCUCCUAGAGCCACUGGUCAGUGUGUCCUGUGUUUCUGAUUGUGUCCCACAUGCCAGAUUCUGUUCUGUGCUUGUUUGGGCAGCACAGUGGAAGG
RNAcentral lists this long non-coding RNA (864 nucleotides) under Parus major (Great Tit). RNAcentral describes it as "lncRNA (ENSPMJG00000012169.1)". Lineage: Eukaryota; Metazoa; Chordata; Aves; Passeriformes; Paridae. The record is from RNAcentral.